GAUGAACGCUGGCGGCGUGCUUAACACAUGCAAGUCGAACGGAAAGGCCCAAGCUUGCUUGGGUACUCGAGUGGCGAACGGGUGAGUAACACGUGGGUGAUCUGCCCUGCACUUCGGGAUAAGCCUGGGAAACUGGGUCUAAUACCGGAUAGGACCACUUCUUGGAUGUUGUGGUGGAAAGUUUUUUCGGUGUGGGAUGAGCUCGCGGCCUAUCAGCUUGUUGGUGGGGUAAUGGCCUACCAAGGCGUCGACGGGUAGCCGGCCUGAGAGGGUGUACGGCCACAUUGGGACUGAGAUACGGCCCAGACUCCGACGGGAGGCAGCAGUGGGGAAUAUUGCACAAUGGGCGCAAGCCUGAUGCAGCGACGCCGCGUGGGGGAUGACGGCCUUCGGGUUGUAAACUCCUUUCGCUAGGGACGAAGCGUUUUGUGACGGUACCUGGAGAAGAAGCACCGGCUAACUACGUG
This 467-nucleotide ribosomal RNA is filed under the name uncultured bacterium. RNAcentral describes it as "partial 16S ribosomal RNA". It matches the Rfam family "Bacterial small subunit ribosomal RNA", at positions 28 to 507 of the family's 1533-position model. The record is from RNAcentral.